CUCAGAUUCCACUUUGAUAUCAAUCAGUGCAGAUGUACAUUAGAUCAUGCCAUUAUAUUUUAUCUCGUUUUGAUGCUGUUGGGCCUUAGUUUUUAUAUUGGUUAAAAUAAUUCAACAGUAGAUUUUCUGUUCAUACUUAAAGACUUUGGGAAACAUGCCUAUUGAACUUCAUUUAAUCAACUCUAGUGUUGUACUGAAAUAAAUAUGGUAACUUUUCAGUAGCAGAUCAUUUAUAAUAAUCAUUUCCAGAAAAUACUUCCACAGAAUUGUACUUCCCAAUCAAAUCAUCUGAUCACACAUUUAUUCCCAUGAAAGGUAGAAUGGUUGUUUGAAAAUUAAUCUAGUUUUCUGUACAUUUAAAAUUUGAUUGAGGUGACAGCUGGCUCUUACCCCGUCUUCCUUCAUAUCGGUUUUCUGAUAGACCACUAUUGGCAAACAGUUAUCUGUCAACUACCAAAUGUGUAAAAUUUUCUGUAUUUCACUUUGUCUUAUUUGUAAAUAGUGAACUAAAACUUCUGGCAGAUCAGCAACAUUUGCUGAGCCUGUUUUUUAAGCUAAUAUGUAUUCUUACUAAUGUUCCUAUCAAGAAUGGAUUUGUAAUAUAUGCUGUCUAUUUCUAAUGUUCACAUUCAUAUUUUGAGGUUCUAUCUUAUUUUAAUAGAGAACAGACUUCUCAGAAAAUCUUCAGAAGCAGCUUAUUAUUAAAAUAUCAAAAUAUUGAAAUAAACCCGGUGGGGUUAGAUUACUCAUCCGUCCACCAAGUGGGACAUUUGCAUGGACUGGGGGCUUUAAGGACUUAGAACAGACCUGUAAGUAUAUCCUGAAGAUGAGCCAAUCAAUCCCCACUUGAAUGGUUACUGGAAUAGACCCACCUUUACGACCCUGAUUUUAGCACCCGAGGCAGAUAAACUCACCUUGGCUCUGUUUCAUUUUUCUUCUCUUCAUUUGUGAUGCUCAGAUCCAAGAUGUGUGUUCUAGACUGUGUACAGGCUUCUCUUUUGUUGAGUUAAAAAUUUUAGUCCUACUUUUGUAUGGACAUACUAGAAUGUAAAGUGACCAAAAUAGAAGACUUGCCAUUAGAUAUUUUUCAGAUGUCAGCAUAUUUGUGGCAAAUCAUUUGCCUUUUUACAAAUUCAGCUUAAACAGUUCAGACAGUAGACUACUCAGAAAAACUUAUUUGACAUAAUUGUCUAAGAGGUAAAUAUUUUUUAGUGCGUAUUGAAUCAAAUAAAGUGCUCUAAAGAAGUUAUUACACAAAUUUCUUUGGGUUGUUUUUCUUUAACAUGUGGUGGAGGUAAACAUGAAUAUGAUUCAAGCCUUCUAAUGGUGUAUUAGUUUUAUUAUUGCUGUUGACUUCAUUCUGUGGCUUUCUUUUAGCUUUUUCAGUUGUUACAAGUUAAACUUUAAAACAUAUACCAAAACUUAUCAAUUUACUCAAAUCUCAAAUUCUUUAGAACAGAUAUCUUAUAAAAAGGAAAAAUUAUUUUAAAAUACUUUUAUCUAUGUGCAUUUUCCUCUUUCCUACAACAUUCAUGAUUUCUGUUUAUCAGGAGACUUACCUAAGGGUACAUUUU
RNAcentral lists this long non-coding RNA (1574 nucleotides) under Bos taurus (domestic cattle). Its description in RNAcentral is "long non-coding RNA NONBTAT018135". The record is from RNAcentral. Lineage: Eukaryota; Metazoa; Chordata; Mammalia; Artiodactyla; Bovidae.